CAGUCGCCGCGGUAAUACGAAGGGGGCUAGCGUUGCUCGGAAUGACUGGGCGUAAAGGGCGCGUAGGCGGCUUGUACAGUCAGAUGUGAAAUUCCUGGGCUCAACCUGGGGACUGCAUUUGAUACGUACGGGCUUGAGUGGAGAAGGGGGUUGUGGAAUUUCCAGUGCAGAGGUGAAAUUCGUAGAUAUUGGAAAGAACACCGGUGGCGAAGGCGGCAACCUGGUCUUUAACUGACGCUGGGGCGCGAAAGCGUGGGGAGCAAACAGGAUUAGAUACCCCCGUAGUCCCUGUCUCUUAUAC
This 301-nucleotide ribosomal RNA is filed under the name uncultured bacterium. RNAcentral's name for it is "partial 16S ribosomal RNA". It matches the Rfam family "Bacterial small subunit ribosomal RNA", at positions 509 to 807 of the family's 1533-position model. The record is from RNAcentral.